RNAcentral lists this ribosomal RNA (253 nucleotides) under uncultured bacterium. Its description in RNAcentral is "partial 16S ribosomal RNA". It matches the Rfam family "Bacterial small subunit ribosomal RNA", at positions 524 to 776 of the family's 1533-position model. The record is from RNAcentral.
UACGGAGGGAGCUAGCGUUGUUCGGAAUUACUGGGCGUAAAGCGCACGUAGGCGGCUUUGUAAGUUAGAGGUGAAAGCCCGGGGCUCAACCCCGGAAUUGCCUUUAAGACUGCAUCGCUUGAAUCCAGGAGAGGUGAGUGGAAUUCCGAGUGUAGAGGUGAAAUUCGUAGAUAUCAAGCGGAACACCGGUGGCGAAGGCGGCCUUCUGGACAGUGACUGACGCUGAGACGCGAAAGCGUGGGGAGCAAACAGG